Molecule: ribosomal RNA, 253 nt
Filed under: uncultured bacterium
Lineage: Bacteria
Description: partial 16S ribosomal RNA
Rfam family: Bacterial small subunit ribosomal RNA
Source: RNAcentral
UACGUAGGGUGCAAGCGUUGUCCGGAUUUAUUGGGCGUAAAGAGCUCGUAGGCGGUCUGUCGCGUCGGAUGUGAAAACCCAGGGCUCAACCCCGGGCCUGCAGCCGAUACGGGCAAGCUAGAAUUCGGUAGGGGAGACUGGAAUUCCUGGUGUAGCGGUGAAAUGCGCAGAUAUCAGGAGGAACACCGGUGGCGAAGGCGGGUCUCUGGGCCGAUAUUGACGCUGAGGAGCGAAAGCGUGGGGAGCAAACAGG